AAUCCAUAGGUUAAUGAGGCGAACCGGGGGAACUGAAACAUCUAAGUACCCCGAGGAAAAGAAAUCAACCGAGAUUCCCCCAGUAGCGGCGAGCGAACGGGGAGGAGCCCAGAGCCUGAAUCAGCAUGUGUGUUAGUGGAAGCGUCUGGAAAGGCGCGCGAUACAGGGUGACAGCCCCGUACACAAAAGCGCAUGUGCUGUGAGCUCGAUGAGUAGGGCGGGACACGUGGUAUCCUGUCUGAAUAUGGGGGGACCAUCCUCCAAGGCUAAAUACUCCUGACUGACCGAUAGUGAACCAGUACCGUGAGGGAAAGGCGAAAAGAACCCCGGCGAGGGGAGUGAAAAAGAACCUGAAACCGUGUACGUACAAGCAGUGGGAGCACCCUUUGGGGUGUGACUGCGUACCUUUUGUAUAAUGGGUCAGCGACUUAUAUUCUGUAGCAAGGUUAACCGUAUAGGGGAGCCGGAGGGAAACCGAGUCUUAAUUGGGCGUUAAGUUGCAGGGUAUAGACCCGAAACCCGGUGAUCUAGCCAUGGGCAGGUUGAAGGUUGGGUAACACUAACUGGAGGACCGAACCGACUAAUGUUGAAAAAUUAGCGGAUGACCUGUGGCUGGGGGUGAAAGGCCAAUCAAACCGGGAGAUAGCUGGUUCUCCCCGAAAGCUAUUUAGGUAGCGCCUCGUGAAUUCAUCUCCGGGGGUAGAGCACUGUUUCGGCUAGGGGGCCAUCCCGGCUUACCAACCCGAUGCAAACUGCGAAUACCGGAGAAUGUUAUCACGGGAGACACACGGCGGGUGCUAACGUCCGUCGUGAAGAGGGAAACAACCCAGACCGCCAGCUAAGGUCCCAAAGUCAUGGUUAAGUGGGAAACGAUGUGGGAAGGCCCAGACAGCCAGGAUGUUGGCUUAGAAGCAGCCAUCAUUUAAAGAAAGCGUAAUAGCUCACUGGUCGAGUCGGCCUGCGCGGAAGAUGUAACGGGGCUAAACCAUGCACCGAAGCUGCGGCAGCGACACUCAGGUGUUGUUGGGUAGGGGAGCGUUCUGUAAGCCUGUGAAGGUGGCCUGUGAGGGUUGCUGGAGGUAUCAGAAGUGCGAAUGCUGACAUAAGUAACGAUAAAGCGGGUGAAAAGCCCGCUCGCCGGAAGACCAAGGGUUCCUGUCCAACGUUAAUCGGGGCAGGGUGAGUCGACCCCUAAGGCGAGGCCGAAAGGCGU
RNAcentral lists this ribosomal RNA (1213 nucleotides) under Salmonella enterica subsp. enterica serovar Virchow. RNAcentral describes it as "partial 23S ribosomal RNA". It matches the Rfam family "Bacterial large subunit ribosomal RNA", at positions 161 to 1412 of the family's 2925-position model. The record is from RNAcentral. Lineage: Bacteria; Pseudomonadati; Pseudomonadota; Gammaproteobacteria; Enterobacterales; Enterobacteriaceae.